This 571-nucleotide ribosomal RNA is filed under the name Cryptococcus sp. GJ8L07. RNAcentral describes it as "eukaryotic LSU rRNA". It matches the Rfam family "Eukaryotic large subunit ribosomal RNA", at positions 89 to 650 of the family's 3401-position model. The record is from RNAcentral. Lineage: Eukaryota; Fungi; Basidiomycota; Tremellomycetes; Tremellales; Cryptococcaceae.
GCGAGUGAAGCGGGAAGAGCUCAAAUUUAAAAUCUGGCAGGCUACGCUUGUCCGAAUUGUAAUCUCGAGAAGUGUUUUCCGCGUUGGCCUGUGUACAAGUCCCUUGGAACAGGGCGUCAUAGAGGGUGAGAAUCCCGUCCUUGACACAGACACCCAAUGCUUUGUGAUACACUCUCAAUGAGUCGAGUUGUUUGGGAAUGCAGCUCAAAAUGGGUGGUAAAUUCCAUCUAAAGCUAAAUACUGGCGAGAGACCGAUAGCGAACAAGUACCGUGAGGGAAAGAUGAAAAGCACUUUGGAAAGAGAGUCAAACAGUACGUGAAAUUGUUGAAAGGGAAACGAUUGAAGUCAGUCGUGCCUGCCUAGAUUCAGCCUUCUGGUGUAUUUCUAGGUUGGCAGGUCAGCAUCAGUUUGGGGGGGUUAACAAGGGAAUUGGGAAUGUGGCAACCUCGGUUGUGUUAUAGCCCAGUUUCGCAUUGAUCUCGCUGGACUGAGGAACGCAGUGCGCCCGCAAGGGUUGGUCUUCGGACACAUUCGCACUUAGGAUGCUGGCAUAAUGGCUUUAAACGACCC